This 482-nucleotide ribosomal RNA is filed under the name uncultured Gammaproteobacteria bacterium. Its description in RNAcentral is "bacterial SSU rRNA". It matches the Rfam family "Bacterial small subunit ribosomal RNA", at positions 43 to 524 of the family's 1533-position model. Lineage: Bacteria; Pseudomonadati; Pseudomonadota; Gammaproteobacteria. The record is from RNAcentral.
CAGGCCUAACACAUGCAAGUCGAGCGCGAAAGUGCCUUCGGGUGCGAGUAGAGCGGCGGACGGGUGCGUAACGCGUAGGAAUCUGCCUGGUAGUGGGGGAUAACUCGGGGAAACUCGAGCUAAUACCGCAUACGCCCCAUGGGGGAAAGCGGGGGACUUCGGGCCUCGCGCUAUCAGAUGAGCCUGCGUCGGAUUAGCUAGUUGGUAGGGUAAUGGCCUACCAAGGCGACGAUCCGUAGCUGGUCUGAGAGGAUGAUCAGCCACACUGGGACUGAGACACGGCCCAGACUCUACGGGAGGCAGCAGUGGGGAAUAUUGGACAAUGGGGGCAACCCUGAUCCAGCCAUACCGCGUGUGUGAAGAAGGCUUCGGGUUGUAAAGCACUUUCAGUGGGGAGGAAAAGUUGCCGGCGAAUACCCGGCGACCGUGACGCUACCUGCAGAAGAAGCACCGGCAAACUCCGUGCCAGCAGCCGCGGUAAU